UGCAGAGUAGAGAAGUCCGGUAUCUCGCCAGCCUCAUAAGCUGGAAUUCACGGGUUCGAAUCCCGUCUCUGCACCCA
RNAcentral lists this transfer RNA (77 nucleotides) under Clostridia bacterium. Its description in RNAcentral is "tRNA-Met". It matches the Rfam family "tRNA". From Rfam's summary of the family: Transfer RNA (tRNA) molecules are approximately 80 nucleotides in length. Their secondary structure includes four short double-helical elements and three loops (D, anti-codon, and T loops). Further hydrogen bonds mediate the characteristic L-shaped molecular structure. tRNAs have two regions of fundamental functional importance: the anti-codon, which is responsible for specific mRNA codon recognition, and the 3' end, to which the tRNAs corresponding amino acid is attached (by aminoacyl-tRNA synthetases). tRNAs cope with the degeneracy of the genetic code in two manners: having more than one tRNA (with a specific anti-codon) for a particular amino acid; and 'wobble' base-pairing, i.e. permitting non-standard base-pairing at the 3rd anti-codon position. The record is from RNAcentral. Lineage: Bacteria; Bacillati; Bacillota; Clostridia.